Long non-coding RNA from Mytilus californianus (California mussel), 605 nucleotides. RefSeq lists it as uncharacterized. The transcript is spliced from 2 exons. The record is from RefSeq and is a predicted model, not a curated record. NCBI's taxonomy places the organism in Eukaryota, Metazoa, Mollusca, Bivalvia, Mytilida, Mytilidae.
AUUAGUAAAUGAAUCAAAUGAAGAAUCUUCAUGGUUAAAUGCAUAGAAAGGAUAUUUGAAGAGAGCCAAUGACAUAAGGAGAAGCAGUUAUGAAUUUUGAAAUUGAUAUAAAGGAGAGGUCAUUCAUCACAGAAGAUUUAAUCAAAGUUUACAGUAUGUUGAGAGAAGUUCAGAACAAGCAAUUUGGUUGAAAAGGAGUUGUCAACACGUCAUCUUUGAACAAGGUCAAUUGUAUUAGAAGUGAAUCCUUAACAGAAAUGAGACAAUAAUCAAAUAAUUCAAAGACUACAUGGAUGUUAUCUGGACUAGCAUUUGUAUGACCUAAAUGUGGUAUUUUUCAUAUGAACACUUACAAGGCAGAUAAUAGUCUGUGACAAACAUUUGUAUGCAAUUAAAGACUUGAAGAACUUGUACGGUAUUCUUCAGAUUUCAGUAGAAUUUGUUUAAAACGGUACAUUCUUGGUAUGAAUUGAAGAAUUUUUGCUCAUUUAAAUGAAUUAUGAAAAUGUUUUAUAUGUUUAGAAUAAACAAAAACAACAUAAAAGAUGGACAAAUUUUUAUUUUCUUUCUUGAAACUUAUAACAGAAUAAAUUGUCAUAUGCUAA